Molecule: ribosomal RNA, 783 nt
Filed under: Triticum aestivum (bread wheat)
Lineage: Eukaryota; Viridiplantae; Streptophyta; Magnoliopsida; Poales; Poaceae
Description: partial small subunit ribosomal RNA
Source: RNAcentral
AUGGGCCCUCUUGUGGUAGACCCACAUGUCAUCGGUGUAAAUAUUUACACUCUGGAGGACGGUGCCUAUAUCCUGGUAGUAGUACUAGUAAAAUUGAGAUUUAAUGCACUUUCUUCCCCGUCUUCCACUCUUCUUCCUCCUCUCUUCUUCUUCCUCCUCUCUUCCCCAUCGCCGGCCGCACAAUAUUUACCCCCGCUCACUGCUCGCCCGCCCGUGCCAUCUUCCUUGGUAGCUCGCGCGUACCAUUUACCCCCGCUCACUGCUCGUCCCGCCCGCGCCAUCUUCCUUGGUAGCUCGCACAGAUUCGUCGACACAGCUUGUUGCCAGGAGCUGAUCGAGCACCUUGAGGCCAAAGUGAGUGUUGACAGCGCAAGAUUUCAGUCUCUCAUCGAUUUGUUCAUACCAACCAUCGACAGCAAGCACGACAUAUGCUACACCCAACCUGAGAAACUUCCAGGUAUCACACUGAGUGGCCUAAAGAAGCAUUUCUUCAAGCGUAAUUCCAGGGCGUUCAAAAGGGGCACGUGGACGCGUCGCAAGAUACAGUCAGAGUGCGGCACGCAUGCGAUGUGGCACAAGACCGGCAAUACCUUGCCUGUGAUGUACCACAUCGGGGACCUGGAGCAAGAGAAGGAGCGGGAGCUGGUCCUCUGCAAGAUUUUCUACCAGACGAACACUAGGGCCAGGAGUAGUUUGGUAUUGGUAGUUGUACUACCCUCUCGUCUGCAAGUUGGUAUUGUUGUUAACGAUCUUUUGGUCGAGCAAGUUUCAACUGGGCUGUAG